UACGAAGGGGGCUAGCGUUGCUCGGAAUCACUGGGCGUAAAGCGCACGUAGGCGGCUUUUUAAGUCAGGGGUGAAAUCCUGGAGCUCAACUCCAGAACUGCCUUUGAUACUGAGAAGCUUGAGUCCGGGAGAGGUGAGUGGAACUGCGAGUGUAGAGGUGAAAUUCGUAGAUAUUCGCAAGAACACCAGUGGCGAAGGCGGCGAUCUGGGAAGAUACUGACGCUGAGGUGCGAAAGCGUGGGGAGCAAACAGG
Molecule: ribosomal RNA, 253 nt
Filed under: uncultured bacterium
Lineage: Bacteria
Description: partial 16S ribosomal RNA
Rfam family: Bacterial small subunit ribosomal RNA
Source: RNAcentral